Danaus plexippus (monarch butterfly) is the source of this 72-nucleotide non-coding RNA. Lineage: Eukaryota; Metazoa; Arthropoda; Insecta; Lepidoptera; Nymphalidae. The record is from the annotation of a RefSeq genome assembly.
GCGUUAGUGGUCCAAUGGUUAAGAUGCCUGCCUUCCAAGCAGGCGACCCGGGUUCGAUUCCCGGCUGACGCA